CAUGAAUACUGAAUAAUUCAGAUGCAAUUAAUGAUUGCUCAGUUUUUGUUUUUUCUUCUUCAGUGUAGUUGUUACAGUCAAUACCUAUCUUGUUCAUACUAUUUCGUUGAAAGUUUACUUGAUGUUUUUCAAAAAAUUUGUGUUACACGAGAAACAGAAUUUGUGGACUGGACUAACGUGGAAAUGAUUACUAUAUAGCUGCCUCAAACUCCAUACCGUAUCAAAUUAUGGAAUGUACUUACAUAUGUUUCUUCAUUCAAAGAACCCUUACUUACUAUUAAUGGAUGGAAUAAUAGCAUUAAUGGUGCAGGAGAACUUUUUACAUCUGGAGGAAUUGGCAUAGUUAGCACCACUGUGAUUAACUCGAAUGGCUAAACUAAGGUCAUACCCGUGUUGAUUUGGUUACAUAGUGUACCUAGUACCUACUCGAAUAUUUUAAUUUCAAUGUGAGCAAAUUCGCGAAAACAACAUUUACUGUCAAUAUCACGCAUAGUUCAUACCCGAAUUUAACGCGGAAUAAAAAAUGAUGUACCUACUAUUUAAGCAGCUGUGAAAAGUAUCAGUUUGAAAAAAAUACUUGUAUGAAUAUGGUGAGUGAAUUUUGAAAAAAAAGACCCAUACCUCGCAACGACACAGGAAGGAAAAAGAACGAUAAAAAUAUGAACGACUGGAAUGUUUCAAACGACAAAUUUACAUAUGUUUCUUUACGAUAAAAAUUUGACUGUUUUGAUGGUUCGAAAAUUCUUCGAAAAUUGUUGCAACAUGCAGAAGUUUUUUAUAACAAACUUAUCGGGUUGGGAUUUCCAUGUCGAAAGAAUCGUGUUUUAUGUGCAUAAAAUAUGUAAGUAGGUGUGCCUUUGAAGUCCAAAAAUUUUAAAGAAGAAUAUGAGGAGCUGGAUAUCAAAACGCCGUAAGUCCAUUUUGCAAAAUUUUCAGAAAUGAGGAAAAACUGUGGGGGGGUCGGGGGGAGUCGAAGGGGGUCAAAUGUGGUAUCAGAGAAAAGGGGAAGUCGCCAUGACCUCAAAACAUGAAAGUGCUCAAAUUUUUGAGAACCGGGGGGAACGUGGGAAGGGGGAGAAAAAAAGUUAGAUACUGCGUUUUGAUCUGAAAAAAGACAGUUACUGCGUUUUGAUCUGAAACUUGCUACAAAAAUCACGCACAUUUUAAAUCAAAACGCAGUAAAUACACCGGCACUCUCUAUACUGAAAUAAAAACACAUGGGUAGAGAACCAUUUUAAUGAUUAUUAUCUAUUAAAUAGUAAAAAAAAUAUUCAAAAUUAAAGCGCCGUUUGCCAUAGUGACUGAGUCAUGACACUAGAUUUUGUUUUUUAUGUUCAGGCCAAGUGUGAUUAUGAUUGAACAAUACGUUGGAAAUUUUUUAAAAGUCUGUAGUUUCAUUACCAACAGUAACCACCUUCUGAAAUCAAUGUUUACCAACCUUAAAACACAAAAAACGCUAAAAAUAGUGUAGUUACUGCGUUUUGAAGCAAAAUUGCUGGUUUUUACUGCGUUUUGAAGUAAAUCUCAACUUUGAGUGGGAUUUUCGAGGUGAAGCAUGGCAGAUGGAUUUACGAUGAUGGCUGCAAUCGAUUCCCAGUUGAAUUUUACAUAGGAAAACACUCUUAUCUCAAUUUUCAUAAAAAUGGACAUACGGCGUUUUGAUAUCCAGCUCCUCAUAUAAGAAAUAAAAAAAUUACGAACUGAAUUGUACGUGUAAUCACCAUCGUGACAUAACACCCCUCCGGGACAGAUAAAAAUGAAUGAAAUUAAGUAGGUACCUAAUAAAAAACAACUUUGAAAAUAGGUACAUACUUAAAUCAAGAAUAAUUUAAACAAGAACUUUCCAGUUUUUUUUUCUGUGAUGAAUUGCAUUUUAUUCACGAAAAGUUGUGUUUCAAUUUCUUCCUGCUUAAAAAACGUAGAUUUGAAGGAUUUUGUAAAAUAUGCCAUAAAAAAUUCAAAAAAGUGUAUGCUUAAAAUAAUUAUGCCGAAAAGUGGACUAAAACGUCGAAAAUAGUUUGUGAAUGUAUACUUACCUACCUAUGUUUUUGGAGUGAAAUAUUUUAAAAAAUAUGCUUAGAUGAGUGUGACUCAUUUUGCUCAGAAUUGUUGAAUUCGUAAAGAUAGCCUAUUUUUGAUAGCAUGCCAUUAAUGUGUUGUAGUACGAGUUGGAAUUGGGACAACAUUUUAUACCAGGGAUUAGCGAUUUUUAGAAGCCAGAUUGUUAUGGAGAGAUAGGUGAAAGUGAAUAGUACCUAACAAAAUAUUGGAUUAGGAAAAGGAUGAGACUGCACUGGAGACUAUGGAAACGAUUUGCAGAAAAAGGAAAAAGAGAAGGAACCUCGUAACUUCACCACAUAUCUACUAUUUUUAAUUCAAAAUUCAUUAAAAUUCCAAAAAGUAAAAAAAAAUUCUAAUUUACAAAACGUAUUUGAAAAAUACGUGGAUUUUGAUAGAAUGAAAGACAAAAUUGAGACAGAGUCUCCAAAAAGUUAUAUAUAUUUAAUUCAAAAGGAAAAUCAAAAUCAAAAAUCACGAUAAAUUAGGUAUUUACUUAAAUUGAAAAAUAAUUCAAAAAUUGUUGAAUUUCAAAAAUACGAGAAGAAAAAUAGAAAAUUUGUAAAGCCAAGUUAGCUGGUACCUAGGUACUUCAAUAAAUUUAAAACGAGAUAUAAGUAAAUAUUCAUAAGAGAACAGUUAAAAAUAUAAGUCAUCGUGAAUUUUAUUCACACUAUACGCAGGUACCUAAUGAUUUUUAUGCUAAUGAAAUUUUUUUAGCUGUUAGCUUAACCAAUCAGAUACAUACAUUAAGAACAUAGAUCAUACCUUAUCAAAAUAUAAAUAAAUAAAUAUGCAGGUAAUACAUAAUAAGGACAAAGUUUAUAAAGCUUUUCUAGUCUUUAAUUUUAUCGUGAAUGCAAACCAAAUUGGCAAAAAAUAAUUAAUUUGAAUUUAUUCAAUACAAUUUUCAGAAAGGAAAUAAAAUCAUGAAUUACGCAUCAAAAAAAGGAAAAUCACGCAACAACAAAAAAAAAAAAAAGACGAAAUUAAUAUGUUUUUAUUAACGAUAAGAGACUUGAAAGGCUAAAAGCACGGACGACAAAAAAUGUGCAGAUAACCACAUUUUUUUCAAACGGCUAACUCAUAAUGCCUACCUAACAACAAUUUUAUACCUACUAAAUCACAUCUGUUUCCCCAACAGGAAAACACAUUAUAAGGACAGCUGAAUUUAUUUUUAAAAGUCAAUAGGUUUAGGUAUCUGCCAACAAAUGAAAGUAGAUGCGAGUGAAAUAACAAUUACCAUAAUGUUGAUUUUUCAUGAUAGGAAAUUGAACAAAAAAUUGAAAUUUUUCAUCAUAAGCAAUAAAUUAUAGACUUAAGUUGAAUUUUCCAUUUUUUUUUCCUGAAAGUAUACCUACCUAUGCAGAUAUCUCAAAAACAAGACUUUUUAAGAGAAAAUAGAUCAGCAGCUCGUUUACUAAGUAAGGGAGUGCUCGAAUUGAUUCCCAAUUUUUUAAAAAUAUGUGUGGGUAAUUAAAUUGAUUCCCACCUUUUUUUGAUGGAUAGUCGAAUUGAUUCCCCGUCCAAGUUUUUGACUAAAAAAACGAACAAUGUUUUGAAAAACGAAUUUUUAUGAAAGGCUACCUACGUAAUAGGUACCUGAUAUGUAUCCUAAAUUAAUGCAGUAGGUACUGUAUUACUGCCUCUUUUUUUUGUUCCCUGAUUAUGGUAGGCUGAUUCGUUUCUUUUAUCACUUCACCAAUUUUGUCGAAAUUAAUCCAAAAUUUGCUUUCAGAAUGAUGUGGCAUGCCAUUAUCUAGUGAUCCUUGUUAUCGUUAGUAUACUCGUACAAAAUGAUUUUCACCUCAGGGAGCGAUACGUCGCGUCGUAGCCAGUUGGCUCAUAAUUUACUUAAAUACAUAUUAUGUAGGUACUUCAAAAUUCUCAAUCAUUAAAUUAGGCAAUUACAUACCUAUUAGGUAAAUCUCUAUGUAACUAUUAUGAUACGCCCGAAUUACAUGAAUUUCCAGUGUAAAUAUGUAUUCUCGUAGGGUAUCUGAUCAAGCCUCGAAUUUAAAUUCGAGAAUUGAGAAGACAAAAAGUACCUUUACCUAUAACAUAGUCUACGUGGUAAUGUACGUUCAAUGAAGAUAUAAUUUACAAUUUUUUUUUCCUUCACAUAUUGACAUUAUUGAAAUACUUUACAGUCUGUCAUAAAGAGACAUUUUAAUAACGAAAAUUCGUAACUAGUAAUAUUUUACAUAUGUACUUACUCUGGUAUAGGCGCUUUGCAUCACCUCGUGCAAAUCAUGUGAUGGAACGGCUACAACAAUGCAUAGCCUAUAUGUAGGUAUAUAAAAACACACAUAAUUACAGAAAUUCAACAUAUAUAUUAUAGGUAACUGUAAACUAAUUAGAAAUAUGAUGAAAAUGAAAAUUCAUGUUGAAAACAUAACAUAAUAUCUAAGCAAAAUACGUAGGUAGAUGCAUGACUGCUAUUCAUAUGUAUAGACACCGAUAUUCAUGUGUAUUGUGUACGUACCUACUUCAAAGUCUGUAACAUAAGUGCUUCGGUGCUUCAUAGUUCACAGUUACCUACAUUUAUCAUGCGAAGCAAAUCGUAUGAAGCAAUAACUCACGAUUUUUAUAGUACAUAAUGUACUUACUUAAGUAUAGUUACCUAGGUCUACAGACAUUCAUUGAACUUUUCAUAACACUCACGUAUAUAUCAAAAAUUCACGUCAGUACCUAUGUUAAAUAUAGGUACCUAAUCAUAAUGGUAAACUGAUUAAACCGCUAACACAUUCCAUUUCACUGGACCAUCACGGCUAUCAAUUUUCAUGAAUUUCAGGACCUUCAACAAUCGAUUGAUUCUGUGAGAUAUGUUUGGUACCUAUAACGAUAGGUACCUACUUUUUCAUCUGUCUAAGUAGUAUCAGAUAUGAGUAAAGUUAUUAUUUCAAUAGUUUCCUGAAAUGCUUCUAGCAUGAAAUUGCUGAGUGCUGCUCACAGCCUCCCCUCAUUCAUUUCUAAUGAAACUACAUCGUACUUAAAAUAACAAAAUAAUAAUACUUACUUAAUAAUAAAAAAUUCUCUUUUUUAACAUACAGGUAUCUAUUUAAAUUAGGUGCAUCACAAAACUUGCUGUUGUGUUUGUUCCCAUUGGAUUUAGAACCUGUAAUAAAUCAUACGCAAACAUUUUAAUUAUUAUGUAAUAAUUGACGAAACGUGACGUAAAAUUUACGUUAACAUUUACACUUGAAAAAAAAAGUAUGUACUUAUAUCCAAGUCAUAGCAAAACACAUACUGUACCUUGGUCAAAGCACAAUAGCGUCAGAAAAACGCUUAAUGUUGUUGUCACUAUAGGUAAUAGGUAGAGGUACCCCCAAGAAAAACACACUCAAAAAUUGAAAAAAAAAUUAAAUGACAAAAAAUUAGCAUUAGUUAUAGUAGGUCUACCCAAUUAAACCCGAAACAAAUUGGUCAAAACUCCAGAUGUGCAUGAAAAAGUGUUAAAAAUAACUUAAGUAAAAUGAUCUCUAUGGGUAGGUACCUAGGUACCAAUAAUACAAAAAAAGAAAAAAAAGUCUAAAAUUGCUAUUAUGAAAAUAAAUUAUGCAUGUAAGUUAAGUAUAAAGUAAAAAAUUAUGAAAAUUAAAUGAAAAGCUGAAAAAACAGGUUUUUUUUACAUUAUUUACUCAACUUAUCCACGUAUUUUUAAAAAUGGGGAAAACAAAAAACCUUCAAAAUAAAAUUGAAAAAAGAGAAAAUAUAAAUAAAAAAUAAAUUGAACAAUAAAAAUUUCAUGAGAAUGUAUUACUUAUUUAUGAAUAAAUGGAAAAGUAAAUCGAAACACGACAAAAGAAAAAAAUAUUGAAAAAUAAAAACGAAAAGAAUUAAGUUGAGUAAAAGAAGAAAAAAUAACGAAAAGAAAAAAAUGAAUACCUAAUAAAACUGAAAAACAAAAUAUGAAUGAAAACGGUCUUUACAAACCAAAAAAAGAAAUUAAUACCUAACGAAAAUGAAAAAUCAUUCUCACGACUUGGAGUCUGAAAAUGAAAUUGAUCGUGAAAUCACUGAUUCUUGAAUCAAAAAACAAUGAAAUAAUGAAAAUGAAAAACAGAUGGAAAAAUUUUUGAUCCGAUUUAUUUAAAUUUAGUAGGUACUAUACCUUAUUUGAUAAAAAUUGAGAGAAUGAGAUUGCAACACAGAUUAGAUAAAUUUCAAAAUUAAAGGUAUGGCCUCACUAAGUGAGGGCGUGAACAGAAGUUGGGGCUGCGGAACAGCCAGGGGGGCCGAGCACCCUAGUAAACAUAUUGAAGAUUAAGUAUUAAAAACAAAAUAGGAAAAAAUAAAAUAAAAUGUAAGUAAGUACGAGCAUUAUAAAAACUGUUUGACUAUACAUCUUGGACGGAAUGCCGUUGUUAGGACAUUUUGAUUUACCGACACACAGAGUAGAUCUUUGAGGAGACAAAGUUGGUUGAGACAAAACAGGUUCGAGGGAAGUUGAUUGAGAAGGGAGGGAAUCAAACGAAUUUUAAGUCGAAUCAGGGUAAGAUGAAUGGGAAUAAGAAAUAUCCAAGAGUUAGAUUUCUCAAUGGAAUGCUGCUUUAGAUGAUCAGCAUGUACUCUACUACCAGAAGAAAGUACAUAUGAAAGAGGCAGCAUCCUUGAACAUACUAAUUACUGGGGGAGAUCAGGUUUGAUCUACUUACAGGACACCUGACAUUAACAGGAUUGUCAGGUUUAAACUGUCUUUCGCAAAAAUGUCUAUCAUUAGUGAACCUUACACAAAACUGAUUACCUGUGGGUACCUAGACCUACUUGAUAUUUGAUCACUCAAAAAGGGUUUCAACUAAUUGAAAAUUGUAUUAAUGUGAAAAUCUAAGAAAGUUGUGUUACAUAUAUGUUGGGUUACCCUAUAUGUACACAAAUAAUAAUUCUUGAAGAUAAUCAUUCAUCACGAUUAGGAUUAGGAAUACUGUGUGAGAUUUCAUGUAUGUACCUAGUUUUAAAUGAAUGAAUAAUAUACCUAGCAUGUUCAUACCGUUUGACGUGCUAUGGUGGAAAAUGAAAAAACCUGAUUUGAUUUCUUUUUAAGAUUGUAUCGAUGGUACGCGUAUUACAUAUUAAGCUAGGCAGCAGAGUAGUUAUUCUUCAGUCAAUUUGUUUUUUUUUUAAAUAUUUUUUAUGAUGAAUUAUAAAUGCUAUAAACACUCUACUAACAACUUCAAAAUUAUAACAGUAAAGUUGUGUAUAAGAACAUAUAAUACGUAUAUACACUGUAUAGUACAAUCAUUUAAAAAAAAAUUAAAAUACUUAUAGGUACCUAACUACCUACAUAAAAUUAUUAAUCGAUUUUCAUUUAAAUUGAAUUAAAAAUAAUAUAAUACAAUUUUAAUUGAUUUUUUUUUUAAAUUAUAGAAAUUAAAUUAAAAAGAAAUAUUUCCUAAUAUUUCUACCUACCUGUUUUUUUUAAAAAAAGAAUUGAAAAAAGAAAAGAUAGGUAUAAUAAGUUCACGUACACGUGGCUAGAAUCAUGUCUACUCUAAGUACUAAUAUUAUGUAUUUUGGACAGUAGGCGAAUUGAUUCCCAAAUUAUUUUUUAGGAAUUUUCAGUAGUUGAAUUAACUCUCACAUCGUACUUUUGCCUGCGUAAGAAUUGAUUCCAUUUCAUUGUGUGCUUAAAUAUAUACAUAUGAUUGGUACCUGUAGAAUUGAUUCCAUCUUACAGGCAGUAGGUACUUGUAUUCUUCAUUUUUUUUCCCUAUUGAGUGCUCUGUAUGAGCAUAAACGAGAUGGGAAUCAAUACGUACAUUUGUAAAAACGAAGAGGGAAUCAAUGCGACCAUUUUUUGUGUUUUGAGAAUCAACUCACCAACGUUCUCUUGUAUUUUGCGUUGAAUCAAAAUUUUUCAUUCUAAAAGUAAAAACCGCAAAAGCAUGAUUUUUUACCCAAUGAAAACACGUUUUUCGUCAUUCUAUUGGCAAGGAGCAGUGUGGAGGAAACAUUUUUGGAUCCAACAUUUUUUUUAGAGGUACCCAACAAUGUUUGAUUGAAAUUUCAAAAAUACGAGGACAGGAGCAUUUUCACCAUUUUUACCCAGGGAUACCCUUUAUUAUUGUCGCGUCUAAAAACGCAUGUUUAUCCACUUACGUACGUGCACAUACCUAUGAAGUCAUUAAAGAAAGUACCUAUGUACUUAUGAGAUUAUUAAAAUGUGGUUACUGCAAUUCAGAAGAAAACAACCAAACUAGGAAGUAUGUCCGGUAAGGUUCAAAGUUGUGAUCACAAGCCAUAAACAAUUGUAGGUAGGUAUUGAAAUCAAAAUUAACAGUGUCACUCUCAAAGAUGGAUAAUAGUAAAUUCUUCAAUCAGAAGAUGCAUUCAAUAACUCUUGCGUUUCUCAACGUACUACAUUUGUCGUUGAAAUUCUUCAGUGUAACUAUUAGGUUUAGGUUGGUUGUAAAUGUUACAUCCUUAAAUUAUAGGUAAGUACCUACUUGAACAUACUUGAGAUGGCAUUAGCGUAGUGAAAGGGAGAUGCUGUUUUCUCCACGCUAUUUUAAACCAAAACCUUACACAUGUGUCAUUGAUUUUCAUUAUGAUGUUGGAUUUAUUGUACAUCAUUCGUUUACUUAUCUAGGUAGUAAGUAUAGAUAGGUCUGGUAAACGGUGAAGGCAGUAACGAGGCCAAGUUUGUAAUUGAGUGCAUUAUUUACGAGUAAGAUGUACAUGAAAGUUCAUAACUUGUAGGUACCGACCUAUACCACCUCUACAAAUUUUUGAAAUAUAUUAAGCAAUAAUUCAUUAUACUUAAUAUGUACUUAUCGACCUAUCAGUUUACUAUCUACCAGUAUUAUAGAGCUGUUAUUUAUCGUUAUUAUUGUUGUUUGUUAAUAAAACCAUUAGAACCGAA
Molecule: long non-coding RNA, 8920 nt
Organism: Planococcus citri (citrus mealybug)
Lineage: Eukaryota; Metazoa; Arthropoda; Insecta; Hemiptera; Pseudococcidae
Exons: 3
Source: RefSeq, a predicted model, not a curated record